GAUGAACGCUGGCGGCGUGCCUAAUACAUGCAAGUCGAGCGAACAGACGAGGAGCUUGCUCCUCUGAUGUUAGCGGCGGACGGGUGAGUAACACGUGGAUAACCUACCUAUAAGACUGGGAUAACUUCGGGAAACCGGAGCUAAUACCGGAUAAUAUCUUGAACCGCAUGGUUCAAGAGUGAAAGACGGUCUUGCUGUCACUUAUAGAUGGAUCCGCGCGGCAUUAGCUAGUUGGUAAGGUAACGGCUUACCAAGGCAACGAUGCAUAGCCGACCUGAGAGGGUGAUCGGCCACACUGGAACUGAGACACGGUCCAGACUCCUACGGGAGGCACCAGAAGGGAAUCUUCCGCAAGGGGCGAAAGCCUGACGGAGCAACGCCGCGUGAGUGAGGAAGGUCUUCGGAUCUUAAAACUCUGUUAUUAGGGAAGAACAUAUGUGUAAGUAACUGUGCACAUCUUGACGGUACCUAAUCAGAAAGCCACGGCUAACUACGUG
RNAcentral lists this ribosomal RNA (497 nucleotides) under uncultured bacterium. Its description in RNAcentral is "partial 16S ribosomal RNA". It matches the Rfam family "Bacterial small subunit ribosomal RNA", at positions 28 to 507 of the family's 1533-position model. The record is from RNAcentral.